This 1109-nucleotide long non-coding RNA is filed under the name Volvox carteri. Its description in RNAcentral is "long non-coding RNA (VCAR_LNC002430)". Lineage: Eukaryota; Viridiplantae; Chlorophyta; Chlorophyceae; Chlamydomonadales; Volvocaceae. The record is from RNAcentral.
UUGCUUGCAUGAUCUGCAGGACUCAAAUGAGGGGGUUGCAACCCCAUAUGGUAAACUUGCUUCAGCAGGCAUGUGUACAGAAGCGAGAAACGGGAGCUGCAGACGGCAUCAUCCACCAAAGCUCUGCCUACGAUGAAGAAAGGUGACAUAAGCAUGAUGCCGCUCUGCCUGAGAUAUGGGUGCCGGUUUGGAAGCCGUUGAGGAUGGAGGCGUAUGUUGGCUACUGGCUCAUAUCACGAGGCAUGACACGUGAAUAGUGACCACUGGUGAGUUGUUCUCUGGGGGAAAUCAUGAUGUAACAGGUUGAUUAAGGCAACUACCCAGGUUCAAACAGGAUGAAGCCGUUGAGGAAGUAUGUUACUUACUACUAGUAACUUGUAGCUCAUAUACGGAGCUUAAACUUGAGAAUGGUGAAGUGUUCUCUGGGUAAGUCAUGAUAGAACGGGUUGGAUUAGGCAAAUGACCCAGUUCCGACCUGAGUUCGAAUCCCGGGCAUGCUUUUUCUGCUUGGGAGGUGAUAGCUGUGACUACAGGUAUCUACACAGUUGCGUCCAUCACUCUGAGAUUGACAGAUGGUUGGGGACCCCCUGAUUUUGAGGGGGAAUAAUUGUCAUUCAUGUGCAAGCAAACAAGGGCAACUGCAGUUUUUGGAUUUUGUGUCAAAUUACCUCUUGCUGCAUAUAUUCUGUAUGGAGUCUCCUAUACAGGGUUUGGCGUAUUUAACUUCUGAUGGGCAUGUUUGUCUGUCUACAGGGCCCACCCAGCAACCUGCAGCUGCUGUGGACAACACCACAUGCUUUUCCCACCACACAUCACCACGCAGAGUCAGUGGAAGGUUAAAGCAGUAGUAAGGUGUGUGGCAUAAAACUGCAUUCUAAGUUCCACAUCACAGUCAUUGCAGUUCUUGAUGGUCUGACAAAGGUGCUACUGUAUGCCCCUGCCUGAUCUUUGCUGCAUACAGGCUCACAAGCUGCUUGUGGAGGACUGCUGCUGCAGCAAUGUCUUGUAGUGUUAACUAACGGCGAUAGAGGACUAAUACUAGGCAUGACUACCAGAAGGUGUUAGGGUGGAUAGUGCAUGUGACCUAUGAUGUAGCAUGUUUUGAGGCA